Long non-coding RNA from Amaranthus tricolor (Joseph's coat), 11068 nucleotides. RefSeq lists it as uncharacterized. NCBI's taxonomy places the organism in Eukaryota, Viridiplantae, Streptophyta, Magnoliopsida, Caryophyllales, Amaranthaceae. The transcript is spliced from 4 exons. The record is from RefSeq and is a predicted model, not a curated record.
CAUAAAGAUGAUCUAUACGCUUUUUAUAGCUAUUAAAAAAACAAUUUUUCUUCCUAUAAAUAAGUUUAUGUAUUUCCAUUCUUUUCCAACAAUCCACAAGCGACUAAAAGUACUACUUAAAAGUACUCCUAGCAACAAAUUAAAAGCUGCAUAUAUUUCAUUCUUCAAUGCUCUAAUUUAACCCAAUUAAUUUCUUUCAUUUAAUUAAUUUCUUUUUAUUUUUUUUCUUUCUUUUAUUAAAAAAACAAUGGUGAAUGAAAGCUGACAGAAGAUAGAGAGCACUGAGGAUGAUAUGCAUGUUAUAUUUCCUGCAUCUCACUCCUUGGUGCUCUCUAUCUUCUGUCACCAAUUUUUACCCUUCUUUUUUUUUCCUAUUUUUCAACAAUUAUUUUUUUUUCAAAAUCUUCCAUUAAUUUAUCCAAUAACAAUUUUUUCUUUUUUCCAAGAAUAAUUAAAUAUAACAAAUUCUUUUAUUUCUUAUUAAUUCAUUAUACACCCAACUCUCAAUGAACUUAAUAUAUAUAAAUCAAAUUAAACUAUUAGGGUUGUAUUAUGAAAAUGAACGACAAUUGAAUAAUUCUCAAACGGGUAAGAGGGUAUCUAGAAGAGAUGGGUUGAGAGGCCAAUUUGUGAAAUUAUGAUGGACUUCUGGAAGGAUGAAAGACGACAACUCAUAGAAUGAUGCGUCUAUAAAGAGUUCAUAGGCCAAAGAGUUCCUUUUCUCACGUACUUAUGUUAAUUUGUUUUCAUACUCAAAGGCGAAUCAGGAGGCCAAUAUAAGGAUUCAAUAUUAAACCUUUUGUCUCGAGGAUAAAAAGAAAAACCCUCAACCACUAAUCAUAAGGGUGAGAACAAAUUCCUCUCUACUAUACUACUCCUUCUAUUUUCUAAUGUUCUUCUCGUUUAGAAUAUUCUAUUUUAGAAAGAGAAAUUUAAUUAAGAUUUUUAAGACAUAUAUAGAUGAUAAAAUAUAUCCAUUUAAGAUCUUGUUAGAUUCUUCUUAAUGAAUACUUUUUUAUAAUUUUUUAUAAUCCGUAUUUAGAGAUAUUGAGACUCAAAAGUGUAGAGAGUUUAGAGAAGUGUUUAAAAUGAUUGUUCAUAUUAAUCAUAACAUUAUAUUUAUUUAUACUAGAAAAGAAAUAUUUAAAAUAUUACAUAGAAUAAUAUAAAUACUAAAAAUAAAGAUUACAUGUAAUAUUAUCUAUAAAUAGCUACAAGAUAAAGUAAUUAUAUUCCCAAGAUAAUCAUCAUAUCAAUAGAGUUAUGCAAUUAUAUUCUCUAUUAUUCCCUCUCAAGAUGAACGUCCGAAAGGGAAAGAACAAUCUUGAAGAGUAAGCGAUAAUGAGUAGGAACAUAGUUAGAGGAGAGUUUGCCAUGACAUGUUUUAUGGAGGUUGUUGGUGGAAGAGCACUUGGAUUUGGAAGUUUUAAUGAUGGUGAUAUAAAAAAAUAAGUUUCACAAUGAGGAAUGUGUUGAUAUCAUGUGGUUAUGAAGAAAGGUCAUUGGAGUGAUGCAUUAAAAUCACUAGAAUUUCUUCAUCACGAAAGAAAGUAAAGGGUUUUGUUGUUGCUCGGUUUCUUUACACUCAUUCAACUCAAAAGUUGAGGGUUUGAGUAUAAUAGAGUUUUAAACCAAUGAAAAAGAGAGAUAAAUAUGAGUUUUAUGAAAUAAAAUAUGGUUUUAGGCUUGGUUUAAAAUCAUAAUUUAUACUAACUCCAUCAAAAAGGGACAUUGAAAUGUUGAACUAUCAAUUUAGGUAAUGAAAAAAUUACUGUAUGGACACCACCAUUUGUCAAUGUUGACAACAGUUUUAAUGAUGUAGCCAUGGAGUUUAGCAAAAGCCAAAAAAAAAUAAUGGUUGGUUUGGAAGUGAGAUUAACACUACCACCAUCAAUGGGUGAGAUAAGGAUUUGAACAGGUUUUUUUUUUGUGUUUUUGUGUUUUUGCAGUGGAAAUGGUUAAGUUGGGAGUGUUAAACCAUUAUUAAAAAGAUCAAAGCUCCGAUAUCAUGUAGAGAGUUUAUGAGAGUUUAGAGAAGUGCUUAAAAUGAUUGUUGAUAUUAAUCAUAACAUUACAUUUAUUUAUACUAGUAAAGAAAUAUUUAAAAUAUUACAUAGAAUAAUAUAAAUAGUAAAAAUAAAGAUUACCUGUAAUAUUAUCUAUAAAUAGCUACAAAAUAAAAUAAUUAUAUUCCUAAGAUAAUCAUCACAUCAAUAGAGUUAUGCAAUUAUAUUCUCUAUUAAAAAGUUGCUUUGAAAACUAUGCAAAAAAUAAAUAAAAAGAAAAAAAAAGUAUAAUAUUAUCGCUAAUAUAUCAAUUAUUAGUUCGACUCUCAUGAAAAUGCACAAAAUAAAACUCUUCAUUAUUUAUUCGGAAAAGUUGACAUUUAUAAUAACUAAUUGAUUGGUAGCAGAUCAUGUAGCCCUAAUUUGACCUGCCCAACGGAUUUUUUUCCUGAAUUUUUUAAAACAUUUAAACACAAAGUCGUUAGUUCAAUUAAAAAUUCACUGCUAGAAAAAUGGUGCCAAAAUAUAAUUCACUAACAUAAUUGGUCCAUUUAUUUGCUUUUUGAAUCUAUUAUUCGCUCAUCAUUUAAUUUAAAAAUAAUUUAAAUUUGACACUUUUAUAAAUAAACUAGUUAUCAAAACAUGUUUAUGGAUACAUUAGUGUGUGACGUAUUUUCAUUUUGACUUAUUUAAUUAACAGAGUUAGUUUUGCAUAGACUUAGUAUACACGCAUAGACUUAGUAUACACUAAAAAUAGUGUAUACCAACCUUAAAUUUAAGGAAUGUGAGUUAGAUAAUGUAAUUAAGUAAACUGAGGAUCAAAGUGAAAAAUAUGAACUUAUGAAUGAAAGAUUAAGAAAGGAUACACACUAAAUACAUUAUAGUCUUAGUCUAUUUUAGUCUUACACUAAUAAAUGAGGUUAUAUUCUUUAUCAAAUUAACUUGUUCUCGUUUGUUUAUGAUGUUAUAUUCUUUAUCAAAUUAUGUGUAAUUUAGUCGUUUUUUCUUUCAUUCUUUUUUUAAUUAUAUUGUGUGUUGUCUUUUAUAUUUCAUAUAAUUACCUUCUCACUAACAAUAUUUAUUAUAUUCUAUAUUAAAAAUAGAGUCUGAAUCUACAUCUAACUUGAACGUUGUCCAAAUUUCAACUCAUGCGCCUGUUAGUUAUUUAAGAGCAAUUUCGCAGGAACUCAUCCAUACUUUUGUUUGACAAUCAGGAACCAAAAGUAUUAUACUCCCUCUGAACCAUUUUAAUUGUCCCAUUUGUUUGGGCACGGUUAUUAAGAGUGGUGUGGGGUCUAUUAAAAAGGUGGUAGUUGGGUAUUUUUAAGUGAUUGGAUUAAUUGUUAAUGAUCUCCUCCUUUUGCUUAAUAAAGUAGAUAGAAUUGAAUUUUGGAGGGAAAAUUGGGUUUCACAUUUCCAAUAGAAUUAAUUGACAUUAAUACAUUUCCGAGAUUGUUAUAAUUAACAAACCAUUAAACUACUUAAUUUAAAUUACAAAAAAUUACAUCAAAUAAAUUACGAAAACCAUCCAAAAUAUAAAAUAAACUAAGUGUUCAUCAAUUCUUCCUUGAUUUCUUCAACGUUUUUUGAACGGCAACUGAAAACGAGCAACUCUCUCGCCACAUGCGCAUGCGGAUAUUAAAUCUUUCGUUGGCUUCAGAUUUAAAAAAAAACACGAUAUGCAUUUAGUGUUCAAAAUUAAUUAGAUAGCUACAAAAAAUCUGAAGGUUUUGAUUUUGAAAAGAAGCCAUCAAUGAAACUGGAAUCCAUACAAACCCAGCAAUCAUCAAUAGACGGAGGAGCCAAGUAACAUUGCAGGAAGUACAUCAGUAAGAUCCAGAGAGUUGACACCCAAUUUUUUAGAAUGGCGCCAAAUUAAAAAAAAAAUUGUGCCUAUACAACACCUCAAAACACCAAGAUCAUUGCAUCUAUAUAAUAAAAGCAUUAAAUAAAGAAGUCAGAAACUCAAAUUCCACCAACCCACAUUGAAACACAUUCAUGGUUAAAAAAAAGAGCUAGAUCAUUUUAGUAGGAGUCAAAUAAUGCAUGAGUUUUUAUUGUCACUAAACAGUAAAGGGAAGCCAGCACACGGGGUCAUCAAUGAAAUUGCCAAGAAGAACGAUGUGCAUAGGAGGACAGUAGGAAGGAUAUGGAAACAGAUUCGGGAUCAAAAAAGACUAAUCAAGUACCAAUAACUGUCAACAACAAGAAGCAAGGCAGCAAAGGAAGGCUGUCCAUCCCCUUUGAUGAAAAAAAGUUCAAGUCAAUUGAAAAAGCGAAGAAGACAAGUUUAGCAGCAUUGUCAAAGGCCAUGGGAGUUAGCCAAACCACAAUUUGCAUAUGGAAAAGAAAAAAGUACUUUUGAAAGCACACAAACACAAUCAAACCGUUACUUACAGACAAAAAUAAACUCGACAGGUUAAUUUCUUGUCUUACUAGUUGCAUUUUAGAUGAGCAAACAAGCAACUUUACAUUUAAUGACAUGUCAAAUGUAGUGCACAUAGAUGAAAAGUUGUUUUACAUUACAAGGACACAACAAACAUUUUAUCUGACUCCAGAUGAAAUAGAGCCACAUAGAGACUCCAGAUGAAAUAGAGCCACAUAGAGAAAUCCAAUCUAAAAGAUUUGUGCCCAAGAUCAUGUUUAUGUGUGUCGUUGCAAGACCAAUCUUUUCUAGCGAAGGUGAGAUGAUUUUUGAUGGAAAGAUAGGCAUAUUUCGUUUUACACAUGAUGUGGCAGCACAAAGAAGUUCAAAACACAGGAAGAGAGGAGAGCCAGAGACUAAACUAAUACAAUCAAUCACUAAAGUACACACAAGAGAUAUGAUUGCGCACAAGAUACUCCUAGUAAUUAGAAGUAUAUGGCCAGCACAUUUAAGCAAAACGAUAUUCAUUCAACAGGACAAUGCUAAGCCACACAUUUUAGAUGAUGAUGUAGUGUUUAGAGAGGUGGCAACACUUGAUGGAUUUAGCUUCCACUAAGUGCAACAACCUCCUAACUCACCAGAUAUGAAUGUGCUUGACUUAGGGUUCUUUAGGUCAACACAAUCGUUACAACAUCAAAAAUCAGCAUACAACUAUGCACAGUUAGUAAACGCAGUGAGUGCAGCAUUUGCAAUCUACAUCCAAAUGCAUUGAAGUAUGUAUGGAUCACACUACAAGCAUGUAAAGUUGAGGUUAUUAAGAACCUAGGUUUUAUAGAUUAUGACAUUCCACACAUGAACAAAUCAAAACUUGCAACGGAAGGGAGAUUCCCACAUUGUAUGGGGGUACAAAAGGAAAUUAUUUACGAGGCAAUACAUUAUCUGGACACAAAGGUGGAUGAAACUACAUUUGAAGUCAUUUUAUUUUACUUAGGGAUCAAAGACGAACCAUUUUUCCAUCAACAUCAUUUACCAACAGCAUCCACAGAAACAACAGCAACACCACACACAACAACAACCACAGAGCCAACAACAACACCACAAAUAAUAUUAUCAGCAAAAGCAAGAGAUGCAACAGAUAUUCCAGCAACAAAUGAAGCAACAACACCAACAAAAGAAACAACAGCACCAACACCAAAUCCAUCUACGUCAACAGAAGCAGCACCACCAUGAACACCAAUAACAUGUAAAUAGGACACACAUGAGUAUACUUUUGGGUUACCUUUUGUACUCACUUUUGGAUUACAUUGUUAGGUAAAUGUUUAGGUCUAAACACGAUGUAGAAAUUAAAUCAUGAAGUUGUUUAACCGUAAACAUUUAGAAGGAAAUGUCAGAUUCAACAAUUUAUUGAUGGCUUCAAAAACAAAAUUAAAACAAAUUCGUCUCAGAGAACAAAUUGCACUCAUCACAGAUAACCCAAAUCCCAUACUAAUUGCCUCCUAUAUCUGGUAAGAACAUAGCCUCCUAAACAUAAUGUUUGGUGGCUUAUGAACUGAAAACCCUAGAUUGGUGGCAAAAUAACUGUUUACCCUAAAAAAAAUCAUAGGGCAACAAAAACAGAACACGAACAUAGACAUGCAUACCAUACAAACCACUUAAACAAAAUCAUCAUUAGUCAUAGAGGAAAGAUAUAUUCAUACGAGAAAAUGGGCCUCGAACAUCAAAAUCAGACACCAAAUCAUCAUCAUCCAAUGAUUCUUCAUCUGAGGAGGGAAACAAGUUCUCAAUGUAUAGAUCUUGAAGAUCCAGUUGUAAAUCAAAUAUACCCUGCAUUUCUUCAUCUUCACAAGUUACACUUCUUCCCCAGUUAGGAUCCGUUUCAACAGAAGUCAUAGGAGAUGGAGGUAGGCGAUUGUAGAAGUCGAACCAUGGGUUAGGAGGUCCAACCGUAGGAUCACUUUCUUGGGACGUAGACAACCAAGAAAGACAAGACCUUGGUGACGCCAUGUUUGAAAAACCCAAAAAAGUAAAGAACAAACCCAUAUCUUAAAAACCCCUAAAAUUAUUAGGGUUUCAAAAGAAGACGAAGAUGGUGGAAAAAAAUAAAGAUGAAGAUGAUAAAAGUUAAACAGUAAGAAUUGGGAUGAAGAUGAAGAUCAUUGAAGAAGAUGAAGAAAAAAUCAAACGUUGAAGAUGAAGAAAAAAUCAAACUUUGAAGAUGAAGAUGAGAGAGGGAGAGAUAGGGUUUCAGUUAUAGAUAUUAAAAAGGGAGGGAAUGAUUAAGAUUAUUAGUGUUGGGUUAUUUAGUUAAUUAGUUUGGGUAAGUAGGGUGUAUAGGGGUAUAUUCGUAAUUACGUGUGUGAACUAAGGGUAUUUAGGUAAAAGAAGAUUGACAAAAAUAAAAAUGUAACAAUUGAUAUAAUUUUGCCAAAUAAAAAAUGUGACAACUAAAUUGAUUCGAAGGGAAUAUCUAUCUCGAGUACAUAAAGAUCAACAAAGUACAAUAAGACAAACAAAAAUGAAUCAAGUGCAACAAUGGGCGGUGAUUGUCAGGCCAAUGCUCCAUAAUUAUAGGCUUUAAUUCAGAUCAUAUUUGAUACAAAUGGGUAAACUCGAGGAGACCAAUCAUGCAAUCCAAAUUGAUUUAACCCAUUUUAAAAUAAAUUUUAAAUUAUAUAAAAAUAAAUGUGAAUAUAAAAUUUAAUUUUCAGCUGAUUCGAAACACUUAACCCGAAAGCGAUUCGGGUAUUUAUGUGAGUUUUAGCUAUUUAUAUUUUGAGACGGAUUGAUUUUAGUUCUUGAAUACUUCCUCCGUUUCAUAUUUAUUGCAAUAUUAGAAAAAAUGACACUAUCUAUUCAUCACUUUUAAUUUGUGAUUAGUUUUUAAUCUAUAAGUUAAAACAUAGUCAAGUGAGAUCUUGUUUGAUUCAUCUCAUUGCAAAGAUUAUUAAUAUUAAAAUUUUAUAAUUUUUUAUUAUACACACUUAGAGAUAUUAAGAAUUAAAUUAGUGCAUUGAAAUGCAUGAAAAAAAAAAUAUUGCAAGUAAAUCAAAAGGGAAGAAGUAUAUAAAAAUCUUGAAAAUUCAAUCUUAAUUUAUAUACAUAAAUUAUAUCGGAUGAGAUCAUACUUGAUUUUGACCAAUCCGAUCAAUUUUAGACAAGUAUACAAAUUUGAUACUCCCAUGCAAUUUGUAUAUUGAUACAAACAGAAAUAGUGCAAAUUUCACAUGCAUGUACACUUAUCAUGUGAUGUGCAAUGAAAGCUUUCUAUUUUUGGUCUAAAUUUUCCAAAUGUAUUGAAAUUGUAAACUUUCUAUAAAUAGAAAAUGAUGUUUCUAAAGUUCGUGCAUGUACCAUAGUCCAUAGUUUAUAUACAGCCUACAAAGUACAACUUGGUGGUCUACUAAAUAGAGUAGGUGAUUCAUGAUUGGAUCACAAUUUAUUUCAUCUAUGUUGGAUUCAUUUUUUAAUGAACUAUACGUACUCGAUCAAGUACGUUUUCUAAACUUCAUUACAAAUAGAUUUUGAUAGAAGUAGUAUUAAUUAGUAGCCAAGCACAAAUUAAAAAGACAUCUUGUUCUAUUUUUAUUUAUUAUUUUUAUUUAUUGUAUUUGUAGUUUUUUACUCCAAAUACAUAAUGUAUGACACAUUUAUAUGUUUUAUGAAUGCAAUUUAUUUACGUUGUAUUGAUCUUUAGCUCUUAUAUCAUUUAACACAUAAUGAAAUACAUUAGUCUAAAAUGCUUGAUAAAUUAACUAUGAAUCACCUUAAAUCUUUGUGUCAUUGCUUGCAUUAGUUUUACGCGAUUAAAUGAUCAAGUUAAAAUUUGCAAAUCAGUCAAGUUUAUUAGUGUAUUUUUAAACCUUAAUUCAACCUUUUUUAAGACUUUUAGAUACCGUUUCAACCCUUUAAACCCCUACCUCAAAAUUUUUGUGGAAUAAAUUAAAGCCAGCAUAAAGUUAUGUGAUACUUUAUUUAGUUUAUAUUAUUGUAUAUAUGUUUUAAUGUUUCCAAUGCAUGUUAGCAAGUUUUAGCUACUUUAUGUGUGAUAUUCUGAAUUUAUAAAUAGGAGAAAAAAAUUUAAAAGUAAUUCUAAAAGAAAAUUAUUCCACGUGAUAAUGUAUAUUUAAGCAAUAAUUAUUGCACCUAAGUUUAAAUUACAAUAUUAAUCUGAAAUGACCCUCGCAAACUUUACAACUUCCUCAAUUAUUGCAGAUUAAUGUUACAAUACAAUUUAAAGCUUUUCCAUAUUUCUCUGAAUUAUCAAAGUAAUAACAACUUUUCUUUUUUCUCCCUUUGGCAUUGCUUUGUAUUUGUUCUUUGGCAUUCCAAGUCUUAAAAGACUUUCAUUUUUUUAGCGUAUUAUGAAGUACAACUUUUUCUUUUUCUAUCAUCAAUUUGAUGAGCUUUUCAAUUUUGAAAGGACACACAUCAUUUUAUUUACUCAAUUAAUGACCUAGCUACAGCUAAUGAUAUCGGAUUUCUGAAAAUAAAGGGUCAAGUGGUCUAUAUGUAGAAAAAAAAAUGAAAAUGAUCAACAAAAGAGUUCAACUCAUCUAAUGUUGAUGGAUGAAACAGUAAUUAACUAUCACCUUUUGUAAAAUACUAACUUUAAACAUAUUGUUUGCAGUCAAGUACUAUCAAAGCUUCUAUACUUAGAGAUAUAUAGCUAUAGUGUUCAUUCUUCAAAGCUUUCAUUGGGAAUAAUUUAUACACUAGCUUGGACAUUUUAAAUUUUAUGAAAACAACGGAAAUUACAAAGCAACAUUCCACAAACUAAAUUCAACAUUUCAUAAUUCAACCACAAGGUCCAUUAAAAUACUUUACAUAGUUACAUUACAUUCAAAAUUUUAAAAAAUUUUGUUAACAAAUUGCAAUUAUUAACAUUAAACUUUCAUUGCAUAUAAUUUUUUUCAAGGUAAGAAAUUAUAUAUCAUGUGCAUAGCACGGGUAAAUACCUAGUAUGAAUUAUAAUCUAUAACAAACUUUACGCGGUUAAAGCCAAUGGUUAAACACAAAAAUCAAAAUUUAAUAAAAUUUAUGGUUUGAUUUUUUAAAAAAAAUUCAAAUAUCGUUUCGGGCUCAGCUAUAACACUCUAUGAUCACAAAAAAAAGUCAAAUCUUAAUUUUGGAUCGCAAACCUAAUCAAAUCUUUACGAUUGAGAUCAAAAUUUAUUCACCCCUAUACUUUAACAUAUAAUUUAAUAUCAAUAUAAUAUAUACUCCUAUAUUUAAUGACUAACAAUUUAAUAUUUUACCUUAAAGCCUUACACAAAAAUUCCUCUCCUAUAUAGUGUUUGUAUUGCCAUCUCCCGUCAAACCAGCAAUCCACAACCAACCAAAAACUCGAUCAAAAAAGAAGAAAACUAAAAUACAGUCUCUCUUGUUCAUCUCAGCUUAAAUCUCUCUCAUCUUUAAAAUUUUUUAUUUUAUUUCUAUUUCAUUUAAUUACUUGUUAAAUUGUUUUAAAUUUUUUUCUUUUAAAAUAGGCGGUACUGAUAGAAUAUAUAUACAACCGUUGUAAUUAAAAUUUUUUAGUUGAGUUGAUUGUAUGACAUGAUAUUAGAAACUAAUAUCACAUAGAUUAUUAGUUCGAAUCUCAUCUACCCCUUAUUAUUUCUAAUUUAUAAGACUCUUAUAUAUGAGUGAGCUAGUGUGAUAAGCCGAUAAAGUAUAUAUAAAAUAGGGAAAUUUGCAUAGUCAAAAGUCAACGUCGGAAAGUUGACAAAAGUCACCGGAAACUGAUUUAAGGUGUUUUUUUUUAAAAAAAGUCUCUUAAAAAGUGUUUUUUUACAAAAAAAAUUAUAAAAGGUGUUUCUUUAAAAAAAGUGGUUUUAAAGGAAUUGCAAUAAUUUUUUAAUUUAAGUAAUUCCCUAAGAGAGUGAUAAAUGUAAGCUGACAGAAGAUAGAGAGCACUAAGGUUGAUACACAAAAAAUAUCACUGCAUAUCACUCCUUUGUGCUCUUUAUCUUCUGUCAACACUCACCACCUUUAUCCUCUCUUUUUCUUUUGUUUUAUUAUUAAUAUUAAUUUUCUUAUAAUGUAAUUUUCAAGUAGGUGUUUGACUUUUAAAAAAAAUAUUAUCUACAAAAAAAGUUUUAUUUACUUUUAUGUAGUAAACUUAUUAUGAAGUUAAAAGGAAGAAACUGUUAGCGAGUGUUUAGUAUGAACUUUUUAAUAUGAAGUAAGGGAUUUAAUUACCAUCACUUCAUAUUUUUAUUUUUUGUUUGGUAUAAUAUUAGGUUAAUCCAACUCCUUUCUUGAGGGUAAUAGAUACCAUUAUUUUGUUACCUUUUAUUUAUGUCAAGUAACAAAUUCUCCUUCUAUAAUCAAGUAAGUCUUUCCCAUAUAUUUUCAUUCCAAACAACAUAUAACUAAACACAUACUCUUACCCUUAAUUCUCUUUAUCAUUUUCCUUUCCAUUACAUUUUAUGUUCUCAUACCAAACACCCCCUUAGAGUAUAUAACAUAUUCUGAAUCUCAACUAUUAACUUAAGUUUUUGAUUGAGUUAGUUCAUAUACUUGGUAUCAGAGCCUGCGUGACAAGAGGUUAUAGAUUCGAAUCUCAACCACCAGCGCUUGUGUUGCAUCUACAUUUCUAGCGCAUUGAGCUUUCGUGUGAAGGGGCGUGUUAGAGUAUAUAAUAUAUCCUAAGACCUCAAUCAUUAGUUUAUUAAGCUUUUGGUUGAAUUUAUUUAAU